This 769-nucleotide ribosomal RNA is filed under the name uncultured bacterium. RNAcentral describes it as "bacterial SSU rRNA". It matches the Rfam family "Bacterial small subunit ribosomal RNA", at positions 8 to 796 of the family's 1533-position model. The record is from RNAcentral.
AGAGUUUGAUCCUGGCUCAGGAUGAACGCUAGCGGCAGGCCUAAUACAUGCAAGUCGAACGGUGUAGCAAUACACAGUGGCGCACGGGUGCGUAACGCGUAUGCACCUCCUGGUAGUGGGGAAUAGCCCGGGGAAACCCGGAUUAAUACGCAUAAGAUAGUUAAAUGGCAUCAUUUGAUUAUGAAACAUUUAUGGCUACUAGAUGGGCAUGCGUAAGAUUAGCUAGUUGGUGGUGUAAUGGCCACCAAGGCGAUGAUCUUUAGGGGUUCUGAGAGGAACCCCCACACUGGUACUGAGAUACGGACCAGACUCCUACGGGAGGCAGCAGUAGGGAAUAUUGGGCAAUGCCCGCAAGGGUGACCCACCAUGCCGCGUGCAGGAAGAAGGCCUUCUGGGUUGUAAACUGCUUUUGGAAGGGAACAAAAUGGUCUUGCGAGACAACUUGAGUGUACCUUCAGAAUAAGCACCGGCUACUCCGUGCCAGCAGCCGCGGUAAUACGGAGGGUGCAAGCGUUGUCCGGAUUUAUUGGGUUUAAAGGGUGCGUAGGCGGCUUAUUAAGUCAGGGGUGAAAGACUAUUGCUUAACAAUGGCAGUGCCUUUGAUACUGAUAAGCUUGAGUACAGCUGAGGCAGAUGGAACGGGUGGUGUAGCGGUGAAAUGCAUAGAUACCAUCCAGAACACCGAUUGCGAAGGCAGUCUGCUAAACUGUAACUGACGCUGAGGCACGAAAGCGUGGGGAUCGAACAGGAUUAGAUACCCUAGUAGUCC